This 468-nucleotide ribosomal RNA is filed under the name uncultured bacterium. RNAcentral's name for it is "partial 16S ribosomal RNA". It matches the Rfam family "Bacterial small subunit ribosomal RNA", at positions 28 to 507 of the family's 1533-position model. The record is from RNAcentral.
GACGAACGCUGGCGGCGUGCUUAACACAUGCAAGUCGAACGGAAAGGCCCUGCUUUUGUGGGGUGCUCGAGUGGCGAACGGGUGAGUAACACGUGAGUAACCUGCCCUUGACUUUGGGAUAACUUCAGGAAACUGGGGCUAAUACCGGAUAGGAGCUCCUGCUGCAUGGUGGGGGUUGGAAAGUUUCGGCGGUUGGGGAUGGACUCGCGGCUUAUCAGCUUGUUGGUGGGGUAGUGGCUUACCAAGUCUUUGACUGGUAGCCGGCCUGAGAGGGUGACCGGCCACAAUGGGACUACGAUACGGCCCAGACGGCAACGGGAGGCAGCAGUGGGGAGUAUUGCACAAUGGGCGGGAGCCUGAUGCAGCAACGCCGCGUGCGGGAUGACGGCCUUCGGGUUGUAAACCGCUUUCGCCUGUGACGAAGCGUGAGUGACGGUAAUGGGUAAAGAAGCACCGGCUAACUACGUG